CGGAGGGUGCAAGCGUUAUCCGGAUUCACUGGGUUUAAAGGGUGCGUAGGUGGGUUGGUAAGUCAGUGGUGAAAUCUCCGUGCUUAACAUGGAAACUGCCAUUGAUACUACUGAUCUUGAAUUUUCUGGAGGUAAGCGGAAUAUGUCAUGUAGCGGUGAAAUGCUUAGAUAUGACAUAGAACACCAAUUGCGAAGGCAGCUUGCUACAGGGAUAUUGACACUGAGGCACGAAAGCGUGGGGAUCAAACAGGAUUAGAUACCCUGGUAGUCCACGCCCUAAACGAUGGAUACUCGACAUUUGUGAUACACAAUAAGUGUCUGAGCGAAAGCAUUAAGUAUCCCACCUGGGAAGUACGACCGCAAGGUUG
This 368-nucleotide ribosomal RNA is filed under the name uncultured organism. RNAcentral's name for it is "bacterial SSU rRNA". It matches the Rfam family "Bacterial small subunit ribosomal RNA", at positions 526 to 896 of the family's 1533-position model. The record is from RNAcentral.